GCGCCCGUAGCUCAGCUGGAUAGAGCAUUGGCCUCCGGAGCCAAAGGUCGAAGGUUCGAAUCCUUUCGGGCGCGCCA
RNAcentral lists this transfer RNA (77 nucleotides) under Vibrio vulnificus. Its description in RNAcentral is "tRNA-Arg". It matches the Rfam family "tRNA". Rfam says of the family: Transfer RNA (tRNA) molecules are approximately 80 nucleotides in length. Their secondary structure includes four short double-helical elements and three loops (D, anti-codon, and T loops). Lineage: Bacteria; Pseudomonadati; Pseudomonadota; Gammaproteobacteria; Vibrionales; Vibrionaceae. The record is from RNAcentral.